AUGUACAUGCCUACAGUAUAAAGUUAAUGCAUCAAAUCCCAUUAGAACUUUGCAUUUAAGUGUGCUUGAGAUAGAGUAACAUUGGGAUCGGUGACCGCUCGGGAAGUCCUAGUGUUUUACAUG
This is a non-coding RNA of Picea glauca (white spruce), 123 nucleotides long. Lineage: Eukaryota; Viridiplantae; Streptophyta; Pinopsida; Pinales; Pinaceae. The record is from Rfam.